This 253-nucleotide ribosomal RNA is filed under the name uncultured bacterium. RNAcentral describes it as "partial 16S ribosomal RNA". It matches the Rfam family "Bacterial small subunit ribosomal RNA", at positions 524 to 776 of the family's 1533-position model. The record is from RNAcentral.
UACGGGGGGGGCAAGCGUUGUUCGGAAUUACUGGGCGUAAAGGGCUCGUAGGCGGCCAACUAAGUCAUACGUGAAAUCCCUCGGCUUAACCGGGGAACUGCGUCUGAUACUGGAUGGCUUGAGAUUGGGAGAGGGAUGUGGAAUUCCAGGUGUAGCGGUGAAAUGCGUAGAUAUCUGGAGGAACACCGGUGGCGAAGGCGGCAUCCUGGACCAACACUGACGCUGAGGAGCGAAAGCCAGGGGAGCAAACGGG